RNAcentral lists this ribosomal RNA (1056 nucleotides) under Phallus impudicus. RNAcentral describes it as "partial large subunit ribosomal RNA". Lineage: Eukaryota; Fungi; Basidiomycota; Agaricomycetes; Phallales; Phallaceae. The record is from RNAcentral.
CCCCUAGUAACGGCGAGUGAAGCGGGAACAGCUCAAAUUUGUAAUCUGGCGGCCUUCGGYCGUCCGAGUUGUAAUCUGGAGAAGCGUUUUCAGUGCCGGCCCGCGUACAAGUCCCCUGGAACGGGGCGUCGCAGAGGGUGAGAAUCCCGUCUCUGACGCGGUCAUGCCGGCGCGCUGCGAUGCGCUCUCGAAGAGUCGAGUUGUUUGGGAAUGCAGCUCAAAACGGGUGGUAAAUUCCAUCUAAAGCUAAAUACUGGCGAAAGACCGAUAGCGAACAAGUACCGUGAGGGAAAGAUGAAAAGCACUUUGGAAAGAGAGUCAAACAGUACGUGAAAUUGUUGAAAGGGAAACGCUUGAAGUCAGUCGCGUCUCCCGGGACUUCAGUCGCGCUCUCAAAGGCGCGGCGUACUUCCCGGGUCUGGACGGGCCAGCGUCGAUUUCGACCGUCGUACAAAGGCGUGAGGAACGUGGCACCUCGGGGUGUGUUAUAGCCUCGCGUUCCGUAUGCGACGGUGGGGAUCGAGGGACGCAGCGCGCCUCUAACGGUCGGGGUUCGCCCACGUAACGCGCUUGGGAUGCUGGCUUAAUGGCUUUAAGCGACCCGUCUUGAAACACGGACCAAGGAGUCUAACAUGCUCGCGAGUGUUCGGGUGGAAAACCCGUGCGCGUAAUGAAAGUGAAAGGUUGGGACCCUUUUUUUUUWUUUUUWAAGAGGGGGGCACCGACGCCCGGACCUGAGCUGCUGCGACGGUUCCGAGGCGGAGCGCGUAUGUUGGGACCCGAAAGAUGGUGAACUAUGCCUGAGUAGGGCGAAGCCAGAGGAAACUCUGGUGGAGGCUCGUAGCGAUUCUGACGUGCAAAUCGAUCGUCGAACUUGGGUAUAGGGGCGAAAGACUAAUCGAACCAUCUAGUAGCUGGUUCCCGCCGAAGUUUCCCUCAGGAUAGCAGAGACUCGUUUGCAGUUUUAUGUGGUAAAGCGAAUGAUUAGGGGCCUUGGGGUCGAAACGACCUUAACCCAUUCUCAAACUUUAAAUAUGUAAGAACGGGCCGUCGCUC